Molecule: long non-coding RNA, 389 nt
Filed under: Mytilus galloprovincialis (Mediterranean mussel)
Lineage: Eukaryota; Metazoa; Mollusca; Bivalvia; Mytilida; Mytilidae
Source: RNAcentral
GAUUUAUACAUAUUUUUUCAAAACAUAUAAAUAUAUCAUUUGUUUAACAGAAAGCGUAAACCAGUUAGGCGAGCUUUAUUCUUCAUUUGAUAAUUGAGAUGUAUUUUCAUUUAUUGUUUUAUGUUUGAUGUUAUAUUGAUAAUAAAUUAUUAGUUUCCUGGAAAAAAAAUCUUUUUAAUUUGUGACUAGAAAACUGUGCUAGCAGUUAAUUGUAUAGUGAUUAGUGAUUUAGGGAGAAAUUAAUCGGAUAACGCCCGAAUACUUAAACAUUAAAAUAUGAAAAGCCAUACUAAAUUUAUUAAUCUUUUGCGUGUGAACAUUUUCUAAAUUAAUUCGAACUUAAUGUAUUUCAGAAUUUUGGACUCAAAAUUAUGUAGCGAAACUUGCCA